RNAcentral lists this long non-coding RNA (248 nucleotides) under Mytilus galloprovincialis (Mediterranean mussel). Lineage: Eukaryota; Metazoa; Mollusca; Bivalvia; Mytilida; Mytilidae. The record is from RNAcentral.
GUAUACUCUAAGUUUUUCUUUACUAUACAUUUUAUACCCCCUCCCCUGUUUCAAUUUUUUAAAGAAUUUGAAAACAAGACUUUAAUUAUUGCCAGCUUACCCUAUUUGCAUAUUUUCUGAUAAAAAAUGCCUAGAACCUGUUAAAAACUGUUUUGAUAACAUAUUGAAAGCAUAUCAGAAUAUCAUAAAUGUUAUGUUUAGCAGUCAAUCAUUACAACAUUCAAGAUUAUAUAAAGUAUCCAAUUCAG